UCUUCCACAAUGGACGCAAGUCUGAUGGAGCAACGCCGCGUGAGUGAAGAAGGUUUUCGGAUCGUAAAGCUCUGUUGUUGGUGAAGAAGGAUAGAGGUAGUAACUGGCCUUUAUUUGACGGUAAUCAACCAGAAAGUCACGUCUAACUACGUUCCAGCAGCCGCGGUAAUACGUAGGUGGCAAGCGUUGUUCGGAUUUAGUGGGCGUAAAGCGAGCGCAUGCGGAAGAAUAAGUCUGAUGUGAAAGCCCUCGGCUUAACCGAGGAAUUGCAUCGGAAACUGUUUUUCUUGAGUGCAGGAGAGGAGAGUGGAACUCCAUGUGUAGCGGUGGAAUGCGUAGAUAUAUGGAAGAGCACCAGUGGCGAAGGCGGCUCUCUGGUCUGCAACUGACGCGGAGGCUCGAAAGCAUGGGUAGCGAACAG
This 421-nucleotide ribosomal RNA is filed under the name uncultured bacterium. RNAcentral's name for it is "bacterial SSU rRNA". It matches the Rfam family "Bacterial small subunit ribosomal RNA", at positions 362 to 775 of the family's 1533-position model. The record is from RNAcentral.